CAAAUCUAUAACUACCAUCCCCUUUCUUUUAUUUCCUGCAAUGUCGUCGUUUCACCCUUCUCUCUCUAUUUCAGAAUUUUAGGGUUUGUUUAUUUACUAUCUUCGAUCUGUUGUGUCCAUCUCUCUCUCUGUCCAAUUCAUAUUCCUCCCUUCUUCUCUGUAUUUGCUCAAAUUUGGUAUACUCUAGGAAAUUCUUUUGGGCAAUUGAAACAACCCUUUUCUUCCCUGCUAAUAUUUAGGGCUUAAAGAUUGGGGCUUUAAGAUUGGAGUUUUCAUCAGUUUGGAUAGUUGUAGCUGUGUUUUUAUGAUUGUAACUUCUUGUUUUCAAUUGGAUUUAUAAAGGGUCUUGCUUGGUUUCAACAAUUGAAGUGUUUUCUUUUAGGGUUUGGUGGUGCCGUGGUGGGGUUUAGCGAAAGUCAUUGUUUAGGGUGAUAUGGAUAGUGUAUUUAGUGAAGAGAUACUUGCAGAUAAGCUUUCUAAGCUCAAUGGCACCCAGCAGUGCAUUGAAACUUUGUCCCAUUGGUGCAUCUUUCACCGAAGCAAAGCAGAAUCAGUUGUAGAGACAUGGGAUAAACAGUUCCACAACUCAGAUAUGCUCCAGAAAGUUCCUCUAUUGUAUCUUGCAAAUGACAUCCUACAGAACAGUAAGCGGAAAGGAAAUGAAUUUGUUAAGGAGUUUUGGAAAGUUCUUCCUGCUGCGCUAAAAAAUGUAGUUGAGAAAGGUGAUGACCGUGGGAAGAAGGCAGUCUCUAGAUUGGUAAAUAUAUGGGAAGAAAGGAAAGUAUUUGGGUCACGUGCCCGGAGCCUCAAAGAGGUAAUUCUUGGAGAAGAUGCACCUCCACCCUUGGAGCUCAACAAAAAACGUUCACGCUCCGUCAAAAUUACAAAACGAGAUUCACGAUCCACUAGAACGAAAUUGUCCAUCGGAGGCGAUGCUGAAAAAAUAGUAUCGGCAUUUCAUUUGGUGGUUAGUGAGCAACCCAAUGAAGAGACAGAGAUGAGUAAUUGCAAAUCUUCAGUUCGUCGUGUGAGGAAGAUGGAGAAAGAUGUUGAUGUUGCCUGUAGUGGUAAUGAUAAAGAUCCAAAACGAAAGACUUUGGCCAAGGAACUAGAGGAUGAAGAGAAUCUUUUGAAACAAAGCAUUGAGAAACUUAGAUCAAUUGAAGCAAGUAGAGUAGCACUUGUGUCUCUGUUAAAAGAAGCUCUACACGAACAGGAAUCUGAAUUGGAGGGAGUUCAAACUCAGAUGCAGGUUGCUCAGGCACAGGUAGAGGAAGCCAGCAACAUGCGAAGGCGGCUUAAUGGUGAAGAAUAUGUGUCAAAAGCAUCUACUGCAACAACAGUAUCAGUUGAUUCAAAUGCAAAAGCAGGACAAACACCUAAGAGGACAGCUGCUGAUAUUGCUGCUGAGGUUGCAGAAAAGCUUGCAGCUUCCUCAUCUUCUCAAAUGAUCAUGCACUCUGUUCUCUCUUCGUUUGCUGCUGAAGAAGCAAAGAAUGCUCAAUUAACGAAGGCCUAUGAUUCAUUGUCAAAACCGGAAAACUCAUUGCCUGUUUCAGAUCCAAAUGUUUUUAUGCCAGCCCAACCACUUGCUGCUCCAACAACACACUCGUAUCAGUCAGUUUUGCUGCCCCAACCUUCAAUGCAGAAUCAGACUCCAAGUGCUCAAGCUCAGUUUCACAUGCUUCCCAACCAAUCCUCUCAGCAAUAUUUACAGCCAGCAGGAGGGAUUAUGACCCCAUAUGCUUAUGGUAACAUUUCUCCCUUGCCUCCAGGACCACCUCCACCACCACCCCCACCCCCACCCUAUAUGGUAAGUCCAAUGGUGUCCAUGGCGCAACAACCAUCACAAAUACCUCAGCAGCAACCGCUACCAUUGGCACAACAGCAGGCCACAAUAAACCAGCAACAACAAAUGUCUUUAAACCAACAACCCCAGGGUCCUAAUUUCAGGCCUCUGCGACCACAUGGAAUGGUGUACUAUGGCCACCCUUCUCAUUCUUAGUGAAAAAUCAUACUAAUGGUGUUUUUGUUAAUUUUAGCCAGAGGCCAGUUUAAUUGAUCUUCACGUAGGUACGCUGCUUGUAAUUAGCGACCUUCCUCCUUUUCACAUGAGUAGGACUUCCAGUAAUGAGAAACACCCAGAAAUAUGACAAGCUAAAGAUAUCUCGACUGGUAAGCACAUAUUCUUAGUUAAUGAGCAAGAUUGUUUAACCCUUCAAGUCUUUGGUGUGCGCUCAUGCUAAGAGGACGGAUGGAAAAUCUCAAGACUCGUCAACAGGCAUCAUGCACACUGGAAACCAUACAAUACUCGUUGAAACAAAGGAGACCACGCAGUAUCUAGACCGCGAUUACAGCCCAUAUUAUUCAGCUGCAAUGCUGAUCAAACAUUCGUUUGAAAAACAAAUUCACCCUGGCAACUGCACCUUUUAUCAGCGUCAGCUAGACCUGGCCACCAUCUUAGCAAGGAUCAUCUGUAUUUAGAACUACCCUGAACAUCUUGCAAAGAUGGCCACCUUACGCAUUUUAACACUCCAGGGAUGAUUGAUUGGGGUAAAGUAAACAUCUGAGCGCACCAUUUAUCUUCCACAAAGGCCCUGUCUCUUGCACAAGCAUGAUCAGUGCUCGAAUUUCAGUGAUAAACUGUUUAAAAGACUUGUAUUAUUUGGUUUCAAAGACAGUCAAUACAGCGCUGCUCAUUCUCGCUACGACACCUGCCCGUCAAUAACUUUUUUUAGUUUUUAUUUUAUUUUAUUUUAUUUUUAUUUUAUUUUAUUUUUCAACAUUUAAUUUAUUAAUAUUUAUUAUUUUUUUAGUAUUUUA
This is an RNA transcript of Populus trichocarpa (black cottonwood), 2823 nucleotides long. RefSeq lists it as uncharacterized. The transcript has 8 exons. The record is from RefSeq and is a predicted model, not a curated record. Lineage: Eukaryota; Viridiplantae; Streptophyta; Magnoliopsida; Malpighiales; Salicaceae.